GCAGUUGUGAGAUUCCCUUUGAAUAUUGCAGCAGCGAGUUGACGGUUGCCAAGGGAACAGGCUCAUAGGAGGAAUGGACUUGCCUUGUCUCAGCUCGAAUUCUCUCUCCUGCCACCCUGAGAAGAGGUGCCUUCCACCAUGAUUGUAAGUUUCCUGAGGCCUUGGAACUGCACUCCCUCCAAGACAGACUUCUCUGUGGAAGCAGCAUAUUGGAGGCCUGCUAGGACAGUUCACAGGAAUGGCUGUGGAGGGCUGCAGGCAUGUCUCUAAUCAGAACCUGCUUGUCUUUUUGAUUGACAGCUGCACUUUCUCCACCAAGAAGUGGGUACUGUGCAAGUUAUGGUCAUAGUGAAGGUGGGGGACAUGGAGAUGAUCCCGAAUGAGCUGCAUAGGCCUCAUCGAAUCAGUGGAAAGCCUUGAGAACAGAGCCAAAGUUUCUCUGAGGAAGGGGAAAUUCUACCUGUAGACAGCAGCUUCAGUUCCUGCUGCAGUUUCCAGCCUGCCCUUCCUGAUGUCCUUCCCUGUGGAUUCCAGAUUUGCCAGCCAGUCCUCAUAGCCACAUAAGCCAAUUGCUUGUAAUAAAUCUCCUAGUGUUAAUGAUCCUUUAAUAAUAUACAUAUAAAUAAUAUAUCCUAGUAUUAAUAAAUCAAUCUCCCUCUCUCCA
Molecule: long non-coding RNA, 664 nt
Organism: Homo sapiens (human)
Lineage: Eukaryota; Metazoa; Chordata; Mammalia; Primates; Hominidae
Product: long intergenic non-protein coding RNA 2016
Source: Ensembl